CUAAGACUGGAAACUCCAUGACAGUUAAAACUAGGAAAGCAAUUAGCCUUAGAGCCUCUGUUGUUACUGGUGUUCACCAUCUUCCUUCAGUCCUCCUCAUCCCCUCAUUUUUAGCCUUUCUUUUCUUUUCUUCACAUUAUGCUGUAUCCACAUGUACAUUGGUUUAAGAUAUGCAGAUACAUUAUUGGCAGGUUCUGCGUAUGAAGGAGAAAUGGUGGGGUUUGUUUUUGUUUGGUUUGUCUUUCUGAGCAUCUUUCUAAGUCAAGGUCUUACUGUAAAUCUCACAGUUUGAGGCUGGUCUCAAACUCUCCUCCUGAGUGUUGCGUUUACAGCAAUCCCAGCAUGCUUUGCUGAAGUACCUCUAAACACUACAGCUUAUAGCUGACUGAAUGCCAGCCAGGGUCUGCUCGUAGUUUGAGGACCAGAGGGGACCUUGGAAAUGGAGAAAGGCUCCAGGUUAAGAAAAAAAGAUGUUCAAAGUAGAUCCUAGAGACCCACAGUGAGGCCUGAACCCAGGUUAGAAACAGAGAAAACAGGAAAGCUGGAUGCACCUGUGUCACGGGAGGAGGCCCGGGGUAUGGCCCGGGUAAGGCUGGCCCCCAGGCAGAAGGCAGAGGAGAGAGCUUUCCUCCUCAGCAUUCAAUAAGAGACCCCUCCCCCAGGAGGAGGAUGUUUGUGCAGGCCGAGCAGAGAUACCUGAGGAAAUCAACAGCUGGAGCCAGGACACCUGCACCCCGGGGGCAUCACUAAAGCAGAAAAGGAAAAGCAAAACAAAAGUCACAGUUUCCACAGGGGAAUUUCCCGGAACAACCAACAAUAACUGAGAAACCGGUCACCUGCCUGCCUUCCUGCCCAGUUUAUGAGGACUUCCCUGUGACCCCUCUCACUUUGUGUGUAUAAGGAAAAGCUAUAGCUGUGGCAUUUCCAGGGAAGAAAAAUAUUUUUUUAGGUGCUAUCCCCACAGAGCAAAUAUCCUUAGAGCGAUUGUACCAGAGGCUGGCCUCAAACUCAAAACAAUUCCCUCUCCUGAGUCUUCCAAGUACUAGGAUUACCGUGUGAGCCACCUAUAUUAUGUCGUGAGUGAACACCAAGCACAGCAGCUAAGCAAGUGUUAUAAAUGAAUGCUAUUUCAUCUUAGAGAACGGUUUUAGGUCCACAGCCAAACUGGAGUAUAGUUCCCCUAUCCCUACCGUAGCGUGGCCUCUACCUAGACUCAGCGUCAGUGGGUUUUGUUUGUUUCUAUUAUUUAGACAGGAUCUCCACGUAUAGCCUAGGCUAGCCUUCAACUUACUCUGUAAUUCAGGCAAGCCUUGCUAUGUAUUAUAAUGCUAAGUGUGGGCCCCCAAGACCUGUCCUCCAGAGACGAGAGAGUCCCUAUGUGACCUUGACAUCCAAGUUAUUUCUGAUUGGUAAAUAAAGAUGCCUACAGCCUAUAGCUGGGCAGAAUUGAGAUAGGUAGGGCUUGAUGUUCCCACCCUCAGGGGAAGUGGAAGAAGAAGGGAAAGGAAGAGAAAGACACUGUGGGUUAGGAGUCAAGGAAACAUGGCCCUGAGGGCUGGCCAAUACGAGUUAAGAGCAGCCCAGAUGACAUAGUAAGUAAUAACUCAGGGUUAUUGAUAGGAAAGUAGAGUCUAAUAGCAUAGAGGGCAGAUAUCUGCCCAGCUCUCGAGCUGUUUAAGGCUUAUUGUAAAUAUAAAAGA
Molecule: long non-coding RNA, 1700 nt
Filed under: Mus musculus (house mouse)
Lineage: Eukaryota; Metazoa; Chordata; Mammalia; Rodentia; Muridae
Description: long non-coding RNA chr14:31443055-31444755
Source: RNAcentral